GCGGGCGUGGCGAAAUUGGUAAACGCGCCAGCCUUGGGAGCUGGUGGGGUGCCCUCCGGAAGAGAUCACACCCCUGCGAGUUCGACCCUCGUCGCCCGCA
Molecule: transfer RNA, 100 nt
Filed under: Occallatibacter sp.
Lineage: Bacteria; Pseudomonadati; Acidobacteriota; Terriglobia; Terriglobales; Acidobacteriaceae
Description: tRNA-Pro
Rfam family: tRNA
About the family: Transfer RNA (tRNA) molecules are approximately 80 nucleotides in length.
Source: RNAcentral